This is an RNA transcript of Prunus persica (peach), 3222 nucleotides long. It is a transcript of the gene named DNA-damage-repair/toleration protein DRT111, chloroplastic, with no coding region annotated. Lineage: Eukaryota; Viridiplantae; Streptophyta; Magnoliopsida; Rosales; Rosaceae. The record is from RefSeq and is a predicted model, not a curated record. The transcript has 3 exons.
CUUCACUGGUUCUAUGCUGAAGACGGGAAGCAGAGUCAAUAGCUGCACACCCGCCAUUCAUUGUUGGCACGCGCUUCUUUCAGUUGUUCGCUCCACAAUUCGAAUCAAUCUCUAAUCAAGCUAACAAUCCAAACCCUAAAACCCUAAUCCCACUGGUUAACACCAAAACCCCUUUCACAUUAUAUACCAAUUCCCUAUCAGAUCCCCAAAUUCACGUAAAUCCUUAAGCUUUCAAUUCUCUCUAGGGUUUUCAGAGCUCUGUAACUGCAAAAAAGGAAGUGGGUACUCGUCAAAAUGCUGGGUGGAUUGUACGGAGACCUCCCUCCACCGUCUUCGGCGGAGGAAGAGAAACCCAGCAACACCACGGUGUGGUCGAGCAGCACCAAAAUGGCGCCGCAGACUCUCCGAAAACCCGCAUCCGUUUUCGCUCCGCCGCAGACGAUUCUCAAGUCCCAAAACAAGCCCAAGCCUUCGAAUUUAGCCCAGCCCAAAAUUACAGCAUCACCGGUAAUUGCGACGUCGGUGAUACAAAAUGACAUGGUGCAACCUGCCCUGGUGGGGGUCACGUCGACGGUGCUAGAGGAGUAUGAUCCGGCGAGGCCCAAUGACUACGAGGAGUACAAGAGGGAGAGGAAGAAGAAGGCAAUGGAGGCUGAGAUGAGGCGAGAACUCGAUAGGAGGCGGCAAGAGGAGGAGGAGAAGGAGAGGAGAGAGAGGGAGGAGAGAGAAAGGGAAAGGGAGAGGGAUUUUGGAGAUUCAAGGUUGAAUAUUUCGGGUGAAGAAGCCUGGAGGAGGCGUGCGGCUAUGAGCGGCGGGGCAGUUCCAGCAAUGCCGGCAAUUCCAAGGUCACCGUCUCCUCCUAAUAAUGGAGAUGGUUUUACCAUUGGGAAGUCGGAGAGUGGCGGGUUGGGGUUAGGGGCUGGCGGCCAAAUGACCGCAGCACAGAGAAUGAUGGCGAAGAUGGGGUGGAAGCAGGGGCAAGGGCUUGGGAAGCAGGAGCAGGGGAUCACUACUCCCUUGAUGGCCAAGAAAACGGAUAGGAGAGCCGGGGUGAUUGUGAAUGCCAGUGAAACAAAGCCGGAGAAGAAGGCGAAGAGUGUCAGCCUUAAUGGGCCACCCACCAGGGUUUUGCUGCUUAGAAACAUGGUGGGCCCUGGCGAGGUGGAUGAUGAGUUGGAAGAUGAGGUAGCAUCAGAGUGUGCAAAGUAUGGGACAGUGACCCGGGUGCUUAUAUUUGAGAUAACGGAGCCAAAUUUCCCGGUGGAUGAGGCAGUGAGAAUCUUUGUGCAGUUUGAGAGGUCUGAAGAAACGACUAAAGCAUUGGUCGACCUUGAUGGUCGAUACUUUGGAGGUAGGGUGGUUCGCGCCUCGUUCUAUGACGAGGAGAGGUUCGGCAACAACGAGCUGGCUCCAAUGCCAGGAGAAAUUCCCGGGUUCACUUGAAUCACAGGGCAUCAAAUGCAAGUUGAUUUUCCCACAUUUGUAGAGUUGACCGAGAAAGAUAAGGGAGAGAUGAGGUUUGGAUGAUUUCGCAUUGCCAUUCGAGUUGCUAGUAAUAUAGCAGGUAGUAGUGGGCAUUCAAACUUGGGAGUAGCUUUACUUAUUGUGGUCGGGUGGGUGAAGAUGAUGUAACUGCGACGGUAAACAACUGUAACAAACAUACAGUAGUUUCUAAGUCCUGUAAAAGGGUGGAACAAAAUCUGAUUGCACAAAAUGGGGUUUUUCACAGCAGCAUACAACUACAUAACCACACACCUCACACCCCCCUUCGUUUAAGUUUUCCAUUAUAUAUUCUAAUUCUGAUUAACUAUUAUAAUAUAUUAUUAUUAUAUAAAAGAGCCUGCUGCGGUUGAACGGUGAGGGUGGCGGUGGGAGGGGCAAAACGGGAAAUAAAGAAGAGAGUUUUGUUCUAAGGGCAGUGGGAGGGGGAGGUGUUGUUGGAAGCCCUGGCUUCAUGCAGCUGGUGGUUGUGGAGCCCACCUUCGUACACGUACAUAGCCGAGUAAACGCUCACACUGUUGUUGUUGGUGGCUGUGGUGUCGCUGGUGUUGUUAUUGUUGAAGGCAGGCAGACUGCUUGAAGUUGGAGAGGCUGUGGUCGAACUCUCACAGCCGCCCAUCACCAUGCUACUGCUCGGCGUUGCUGCUGCUGCUGCCGACUUGGCGCUGGCUUUGGGGACCCCGCCGCAGACCGAACAGCAAUUCGAAACCUUCCCUCCACAAACAACAACCAAGUGAAUAGAAUAAAACAAAAUGUGUGUUUGGUUGGUGAGAAAAUGCAGGAAAGAAAAGGAAAGGACAGAGGGAGGUGGCGUGCGUACAUUGGGGGAGCGGCGGCGGUAGGUGGUGCCGUCAGGUUCGACGAGCCAGCCGGCCUCGGAGGCGAGAUGGCGGAGGACCUCGUUGAUGUCGGCGCGGGGGGAGAGACCGUAGCCGCCGUGCUUGCGGAGGCCGUGGAAGAUUUUGGUUGUGAUGGCCCUCCUCUGCCUCUCCCUCAUCUUUGUCUUCUCUUUCUCGCUCUCGCUCCUCCCAUGUGUUCCCGCCAUUUCCUCCACUCCCUGAUGCUCUCUCUGUCUCUGUCUCUCUCUCAAAUCCCAAUCAAUUGUUAAUAAUGAUGAAAGUUAAAAGUGUGAGCUUGGUUCUUGAGAGUGUUUUGUAGAACGGUGGAGUAGUUGGGGAGCAUCGGACGGUGCGGGCAAACAGAGCCACGCAGGUUGGAUUGGACGGCUGGGAUGAUUCUGCGAUCUGCAUGCGCUCUCUGUGUUUUAUCUCUUUCUGCAUGACACCGUGACAUGUGUGAGAGAGAUAGAGAGAGUUGAGAGUUACAAGUGCAUGUUUCGGUUUCACGCACUUAGAGAGGGCAGAGGGGGUGUUUUUCUCACGCGCUUCUGAGGCAGUUCCAUAAGAACGCGACAUGGCGGCGGGGGUGGCGGCUCAGCUCAGGAACACAGACUCAGACGGAGCCAAGCAAACCAUAAACCAGCAGGGACAAAGAAGCUGUUUUUUAUUUUUCUUUCAACUUUUGUAAUAAAUUUAUAUAUAUAAAAAAGUAGGACAUGCAUAAUACAGUGCAAAACUAGUAGUAGAAUGUAGUAAGGACACAUCAUGUUUCCUGAAAUUUCAAAUUAAAUUAUACUUACAAGUUAGAAGGUCGAAAUUAGACGUUUGUGACUAUAUGCAUAUAUCCAUAUACUUGCCGGGAAAAAAAAGAAAAAAAAGAAAA